AUUCAUGUGGCGGAAUUGGUAGACGCGCUCGACUUAAAAUCGAGUUCUUUACAGAGUGUGGGUUCGACUCCUGCCAUGAAUA
This 82-nucleotide transfer RNA is filed under the name Linnemannia elongata. RNAcentral describes it as "tRNA-Leu". It matches the Rfam family "tRNA". Rfam says of the family: Transfer RNA (tRNA) molecules are approximately 80 nucleotides in length. Their secondary structure includes four short double-helical elements and three loops (D, anti-codon, and T loops). Lineage: Eukaryota; Fungi; Mortierellomycota; Mortierellomycetes; Mortierellales; Mortierellaceae. The record is from RNAcentral.